RNAcentral lists this ribosomal RNA (330 nucleotides) under Triticum aestivum (bread wheat). Its description in RNAcentral is "partial small subunit ribosomal RNA". Lineage: Eukaryota; Viridiplantae; Streptophyta; Magnoliopsida; Poales; Poaceae. The record is from RNAcentral.
GAUUACCGUCCAAUUAGUCUGAUUCAUGCUAUUCCCAAGAUCAUUGCAAAGGUCCUUGCCAUCCGUCUUAGCCACCACAUGCUCCACCUUGUCUCCAACGCGCAGAGUGCUUUCAUCAAGACAAGAAGCAUCCAUGACAAUUUCAUGUAUGUGAGGAAUCUUGCACGGAGGCUCCACAAGUGCAAAACCCCUUCGCUUCUCUUCAAGUUGGACAUUCGGAAGGCAUUUGAUUCAGUCAAGUGGGAGUAUAUCAUUGACCUCCUCCGCCGUAGGGGGUUCCCGAGCAUUUUCAGAGAUUGGAUCACCGCCCUACUUUGCUCCUCUUCCUCG